Molecule: non-coding RNA, 3381 nt
Organism: Marmota flaviventris (yellow-bellied marmot)
Lineage: Eukaryota; Metazoa; Chordata; Mammalia; Rodentia; Sciuridae
Source: RefSeq, a predicted model, not a curated record
AAACAAGAGUCAGAGGUCAGCACGGCCCGGGCGCACGCCCGGCCAGCAGAAGGCACCUCACGGCCGCUGUCUCCAAACCCAGCCUUGACUCCCCCCGGGCCGCGCCGUCUGUGCAUCCUCCAGUCGCCCGUGGACGAGGAUGCACAGCAUCGGGCCGGGGCGCAGGCGCUGACCGCAGUGAGCGACUCACACCCCCAGCUACGAGACCCCAAGGGGACCAGGAAGGGCCAGAAAGGCACAGCUGCGCAGGGGAGAGAGGGCAGGCAGGGACCUUGGGAGGACUGCAGCAGCUGCACAGACGACACCUCGGCCCUUGGUCCGCAGUGUGACCACAGCUCGGCACCCAAGAGCCGCUGCCAUCGCCCACGACUCCCGCCAACAACAGGGAGUCACCUCCCUGGACCUCGGUGUCCUUCUCUCAAUAUCCACCAGUAAAAGCCAUCUGGUCUCCUGCGCUGGCCCCAAGCGUUGAAAUGGGGCCAUGCAUUUAAGAGACUUCACCCCCAACCCAGCGGCCAUCCAGGGAGCCCUGGUCAUGCGCUAACGGAGGCUCCACUUGUGAUGCACGGGACAGCGGUCUGCAUGGCCGCCAGUGCGGUUCAGGAUUCCCCAGAUCCAACCCACCUGACCGCUCUCCUGCCCUUCUGGACUCAGCGCCCGAGUCCUCUCGGGGCCUCAGCCUCCCAUCUCCCAGCUGGGGCCUUUCCCGGGCUCUCUGCAGUGAGGCCAAGGAGGUCCCCCUCUAGCGCCCAGUAGCUCCUGCUGACCGACUCCACUACAGGAAAAUGGUAAAAUCCAAUUCCCUGAAGGCACCGCAGAGGGCCGCCGCGGCCUGGGAGCCAGACAAGGAAGGAUCUUUCUCAGUUGCUGAGGCUGGCCUCAAACUUCCCAUCCUCCUGCCUCAGCCUCUGGAGCCGCUGGGAUCACCGACGUGUGUCAGGCUGCCCGUGGGCUCCGUGGGAGGAGUGCGAUUUGAGGAGCUCUCGAGUGUGAGCAGGUGACUGUAGAAAACCACACCCAGGCUCAUAACCGCCAACUGCUAAGGAAUGGAGGCCCCAGGAAACUGGAGAAAGCAGCUACUCUGAGACCGUGUGUCACCCGCAGAGAGACUCGCCGUGGGAAUGGCGCUGGGGGGGGAGUCCCAGGGACUCAGCGGGGCGCUGUGUUUCAUCACCAGCUCAGCCGGGGGACCUGGUCAGCACGUUGCUGCUCCUGACUUCCUGUUCGCCUAAAGUGUGGAUGGUCGGUCAUAAGAUCAUCGACAUCCGUCUUAGGUCUUCAUCUGGAGAAGUCAAAGCUCCCAGGCUUGGGGACCCCGGUGAGGACGCCGCGAUGUAACACAAACAAGGUCAGAAGCCACGUCCCCAGUGGAGCAGCCGCCCAACGCCCAUCACCCCACGUCACCCGGUGCACGUCACCCGCCUCACCGUCCAGAAGCCACCCGGGGUGUGAGGUCAGGGGACCUGGGCAGGAACUGGGGACCUGGCAGCCUGUGGGUUGGGAAAAGGAGAAGAGGGUGGGGACGCGGCCCGCGCCAGGUGGCCACUUCCUCCUGAGACGCAGAGGAGACCCGCUGCCGCGUGGGCAGGUGGGCAGGUGGCCGGCCUGUGACGGCUCAGGUGGCCCGCGGACAGGGCACGUGCUGAGCCCCAGCCUGACUCACCCUGGCCACCCACGGGGACGCGGCGGCCACCUUUCUCCCUGGGUUUUCCCCGAGGCACGCGGAGGACAACGGGUGGGGACAGUGAGGUGUUCGCAGAAGGAGGGGACGACCUGCUGCAGGUCGCGUCAGCCACAGGUGGGUCAGGAGACCGGGCCUGGGGGACGCCGGAACAGUGCCACCGUCACUGUCUUCUCCCACCCACUGCCACCGUCACCGUCACGGCCACAGCCACCCUGAUCACCUCCAUCAUCGCCGCCGCGGUUCCCACCACCUCCCCACCAUCCCCCAAGACUGGCUGCUCCUGCCACCUCCAUCACGGUCACCACCGCCCUCGCUGUCCCCAUCGCCCCGUCUCCAUGCCUCUGUGUGCUGAACGCGGUCCCCACCACUGUGUCCCCACCACCCCGGCUCCUGGCCCACCCACCGCACCUCGGUGCCCUCCCAGCAGCCCACGGGGGUCCACCUGGUCCAUCCUGACGCGUGAAGCUGGGGAAGAUUCAAAACCCAAGCCGUGACCCGCCCGUCACUCCCAACACUCCACACGGGGUGCGGGUACCACCGGGGACACGGGUUGGGACCCAGUAUGGAAAUACCACUGUUUCUCCCAGCAGCUCAGUUCUGAAGACAGAGAGAGACUCUGCCCAUCCUCUACCCGAGGCUCAGAGACAUCGAGUGUCCUGCUGAAGGUCACACAGCCAGUAACUGCCAGCAUCAGGCAGAAGAGGGUCUACAUCAAACACACACCCCCCGGGUCACACGCCCAGCCUCCGCCCUGGUCACAGAGCAGGGGAGGCAGGGCUUUUGCACACUAUCCAGGUGUGGGAGCCGUGGAGACGCCACUGGACCCCCCUGGUCAGCAGACACGGCCGAGACCCCAGGCGGCCAUGGCUGGGCAGUGUGGGUCUCCUGUGGGAGAUCCCUGCCCCGGGUUCUCAGUGCCCUGGCGGAGGCUUCUCAGAGCCGCACCCCAGAGCCUCCCUGGGAGCCCUCUCUCCCAGCGUCCGGCCGCCUGCUCUCCCUCGGUCUCUGCCUCCCACUUCUUUCAAAGGCAUUGUCCCCCGAGUCUCCCGGGCCCCAGAUCCCAGCCGGGGACUCUCCCCUUCCCGGCCUUGAGCCUGGACUUUGGGCCAACGCCCUUCAACCCUGUGGAGGAGCGUUGGCCACUGUAGCUGGACCCCGCUGUGAGUCAACGCCACGCUGACCCCCACCCGGGGGCUGGCCCUGGCACCCAUGUGGGGUCCCCGUCCACUGUGGACAGUGGGAGCAGGCCUCGAUGUCCUCCUCUCUGAGGAUCACGGCAGCCCUAUGGCUGGGCACCUAAGGGGCACCCGGCGAGGGCGUCGCUCUAGGGAGUGUGGCCUGAGAGGGACAGCGUGACAAGCACUGGGGACGCAGGUGUGGGCCAAAUCAAGGUGACGGUCCCACUGUCCCGGAACUUUGUCUUCUUAAAGCCGAAUCCAAAUCUCUCCGAGAUCCUCAAGAGAAGGUCACGCAAACAAGAUGAGCGCGACUCUGAGAAGGGGAAACGGAGGCCGGGCCACGGUGUCCUUCAGGGGGAACCGACUGGGUUCAAGGGAAGCAGGAAGCCCGGGCAGGGCGGUGGGUGCCCAGCGCUGGCCGUGGGCUGUCUCUCUGGGAACGCCGGACAGCGACUCAGCGAGCCAAGGUCAAGGGCAUCUUGCUCUCUCUUACAAAGUGUCAUGAUUCCACGUCCAAUG